This 465-nucleotide ribosomal RNA is filed under the name uncultured bacterium. Its description in RNAcentral is "partial 16S ribosomal RNA". It matches the Rfam family "Bacterial small subunit ribosomal RNA", at positions 28 to 507 of the family's 1533-position model. The record is from RNAcentral.
GAUGAACGCUGGCGGCGUGCUUAACACAUGCAAGUCGAACGGAAAGGCUCCUGCUUGCAGGGGUACUCGAGUGGCGAACGGGUGAGUAACACGUGGGUGAUCUGCCCUGCACUUCGGGAUAAGCCUGGGAAACUGGGUCUAAUACCGGAUAGGACUAUGGUUUGGAUGCCAUUGUGGAAAGUUUUUCGGUGUGGGAUGAGCUCGCGGCCUAUCAGCUUGUUGGUGGGGUAAUGGCCUACCAAGGCGUCGACGGGUAGCCGGCCUGAGAGGGUGUACGGCCACAUUGGGACUGAGAUACGGACCAGACUCCUACGGGAGGCAGCAGUGGGGAAUAUUGCACAAUGGGCGCAAGCCUGAUGCAGCGACGCCGCGUGGGGGAUGACGGCCUUCGGGUUGUAAACUCCUUUCGCUAGGGACGAAGCGCAAGUGACGGUACCUGGAGAAGAAGCACCGGCUAACUACGUG